This 1659-nucleotide ribosomal RNA is filed under the name metagenome. RNAcentral describes it as "bacterial LSU rRNA". It matches the Rfam family "Bacterial large subunit ribosomal RNA", at positions 1273 to 2925 of the family's 2925-position model. The record is from RNAcentral.
CUUGAGGUAUCGGAAGUGCGAAUGCUGACAUGAGUAGCGUUAAAGCGGGUGAAAAGCCCGCUCGCCGUAAGCGCAAGGUUUUCUACGCAACGUUCAUCGGCGUAGAGUGAGUCGGCCCCUAAGGCGAGGCAGAGAUGCGUAGCUGAUGGGAAACAGGUCAAUAUUCCUGUACCGAUGUGUAGUGCGAUGUGGGGACGGAGAAGGUUAACUCAGCCGGGUGUUGGAUGUCCCGGUUCAAGCUUGUAGCCGUGCCUGGUAGGUAAAUCCGCCGGGCUUAGGUGAGGAGUGAUAACGAGGCGGCUUGCCGCCGAAGUGAGUGAUACCCAGCUUCCAGGAAAAGCCACUAAGCUUCAGCUACACACGACCGUACCGCAAACCGACACUGGUGCGCGAGAUGAGUAUUCUAAGGCGCUUGAGAGAACUCGGGAGAAGGAACUCGGCAAAUUGACACCGUAACUUCGGAAGAAGGUGUGCCUUUAGUAGGUGAAGUCCCUCGCGGAUGGAGCCCAAUGAGGUUGCAAAGAAUCGGUGGCUGCGACUGUUUAAUAAAAACACAGCACUCUGCAAACACGAAAGUGGACGUAUAGGGUGUGACGCCUGCCCGGUGCUGGAAGAUUAAGUGAUGGGGUGCAAGCUCUUGAUCGAAGUCCCAGUAAACGGCGGCCGUAACGAUAACGGUCCUAAGGUAGCGAAAUUCCUUGUCGGGUAAGUUCCGACCUGCACGAAUGGCGUAACGAUGGCCACACUGUCUCCUCCCGAGACUCAGCGAAGUUGAAAUGUUUGUGAUGAUGCAAUCUCCCCGCGGAAAGACGGAAAGACCCCAUGAACCUUUACUGUAGCUUUGUAUUGGACUUUGAACAGAUCUGUGUAGGAUAGGUGGGAGGCUUUGAAGCAGGGUCGCUAGAUCUUGUGGAGCCAACGUUGAAAUACCACCCUGGUGUGUUUGAGGUUCUAACCUAGGCCCGUUAUCCGGGCCGGGGACAGUGCAUGGUAGGCAGUUUGACUGGGGCGGUCUCCUCCCAAAGCGUAACGGAGGAGUUCGAAGGUACGCUAGUUACGGUCGGACAUCGUGACGAUAGUGCAAUGGCAUAAGCGUGCUUAACUGCGAGACUGACAAGUCGAGCAGAUGCGAAAGCAGGACAUAGUGAUCCGGUGGUUCUGUAUGGAAGGGCCAUCGCUCAACGGAUAAAAGGUACUCUGGGGAUAACAGGCUGAUACCGCCCAAGAGUUCAUAUCGACGGCGGUGUUUGGCACCUCGAUGUCGGCUCAUCUCAUCCUGGGGCUGUAGCCGGUCCCAAGGGUAUGGCUGUUCGCCAUUUAAAGAGGUACGUGAGCUGGGUUUAAAACGUCGUGAGACAGUUUGGUCCCUAUCUUCCGUGGGCGCUGCAGAUUUGAGGAAGCCUGCUCCUAGUACGAGAGGACCGGAGUGGACGCACCUCUGGUGUACCGGUUGUCACGCCAGUGGCAUUGCCGGGUAGCUAUGUGCGGAAGAGAUAACCGCUGAAAGCAUCUAAGCGGGAAACUCGUUUCAAGAUUAGAUCUGCCGGGGCCUUGAGCCCCCUAAAGAGUCGUUCAAGACCAGGACGUUGAUAGGUCGGGUGUGGAAGCGCAGCAAUGCGUUAAGCUAACCGAUACUAAUUGCUCGUGCGGCUUGACCCU